UAUAACGAAAUAGGAGUUCUUCUUCGCCGACCCUGAGGGCAUUUAUAAAGUUCAGUCAAAAUAGAUCCUCCAAGUAAUAAAGCCGCCCAUAGCAACUAAAACAGACAUGUUUCCAAAUAGGAUAUGCAUAUAAAUGUCAGUUAAGUCGACAAUGCUGGGGAAACAUUUAAGGAUCCCAAUUAAAUAACCUUCAAAGAACUCAGACAAAAAGAUCAUAUUUAAAUCAGUGUAACGACAUUCCGGAAUGACACAACCACGACAUCUUUGGAGACGCAUAGAAGGUCAGCGAAUCUUCCUGAACCAUGGUCGGCCGAGUAUAUAAGGAGCCGCAUCGCCGCUGAGAGUCAGCCGUCAGUUCAGUGUAGUGCAGUUCGGAAUAUUCGGUAAAAAUAAAUAUCUUUAGUGGUUGUAAGCGUAUUUAGUAUGUAAAUAAAUCAGUUGACUAUU
Anthonomus grandis grandis is the source of this 447-nucleotide long non-coding RNA. RefSeq lists it as uncharacterized. Lineage: Eukaryota; Metazoa; Arthropoda; Insecta; Coleoptera; Curculionidae. The record is from RefSeq and is a predicted model, not a curated record. The transcript has 2 exons.